CCUACGGGUGGCAGCAGUAGGGAAUCUUCCACAAUGGACGAACGUCUGAUGGAGCAACGCCGCGUGAGUGAAGAAGGGUUUCGGCUCGUAAAACUCUGUUGGUAGUGAAGAAAGAUCGCGAUAGUAACUGUCCUUUUUUUGACGGUAUUUACUUAGAAAGUCACGGCUAACUACGUGCCAGCAGCCGCGGUAAUACGUAGGUGGCAAGCGUUUUCCGGAUUUAUUGGGCGUAAAGCGAGUGCAGGCGGUUCAUUAAGUCUGAUGUGAAAGCCUUCGGCUCAACCGGAGAAUUGCAGUAGAAACUGUGGAACUUGAGUGCAGAAGAGGAGAGUGGAACUCCAUGUGUAGCGGUGGAAUGCGUAGAGAUAUGGAAGAACACCAGUGGCGAAGGCGGCUCUCUGGUCUGCAACUGACGCUGAGGCUCGAAAGCAUGGGUAGCGAACAGGAUUAGAUACCCGAGUAGUC
Molecule: ribosomal RNA, 465 nt
Filed under: uncultured bacterium
Lineage: Bacteria
Description: partial 16S ribosomal RNA
Rfam family: Bacterial small subunit ribosomal RNA
Source: RNAcentral